Molecule: ribosomal RNA, 241 nt
Filed under: uncultured Gammaproteobacteria bacterium
Lineage: Bacteria; Pseudomonadati; Pseudomonadota; Gammaproteobacteria
Description: partial 16S ribosomal RNA
Rfam family: Bacterial small subunit ribosomal RNA
Source: RNAcentral
UGCACAAUGGGCGAAAGCCUGAUGCAGCAAUGCCGCGUGUGUGAAGAAGGCUGCGGGUUGUAAAGCACUUUCAGUAGGGAGGAAACAGUUGCGGGUUAAUAUCCCGCGACCUUGACGUUACCUACAGAAGAAGCACCGGCUAACUCUGUGCCAGCAGCCGCGGUAAUACAGAGGGUGCAAGCGUUAAUCGGAAUUACUGGGCGUAAAGCGCGCGUAGGCGGYUUGUGUCAGUGUCGGAUGU